GGGCUGGGGCUCAGUGGCAGGGCGCUUGCCUAGCACGUGAGAGGCGCUGGGUUCGAUCCUCAGCACCCCA
This 70-nucleotide transfer RNA is filed under the name Marmota monax (woodchuck). RNAcentral describes it as "tRNA.Ala". The record is from RNAcentral. Lineage: Eukaryota; Metazoa; Chordata; Mammalia; Rodentia; Sciuridae.